RNAcentral lists this ribosomal RNA (445 nucleotides) under uncultured bacterium. Its description in RNAcentral is "bacterial SSU rRNA". It matches the Rfam family "Bacterial small subunit ribosomal RNA", at positions 338 to 795 of the family's 1533-position model. The record is from RNAcentral.
CCUACGGGUGGCUGCAGUGGGGAAUAUUGCACAAUGGGCGGAAGCCUGAUGCAGCGACGCCGCGUGAGGGAUGACGGCCUUCGGGUUGUAAACCUCUUUCAGCACGGAAGAAGCGAAAGUGACGGUACGUGCAGAAGAAGCGCCGGCUAACUACGUGCCAGCAGCCGCGGUAAUACGUAGGGCGCAAGCGUUGUCCGGAAUUAUUGGGCGUAAAGAGCUCGUAGGCGGUUUGUCGCGUCUGCUGUGAAAGCCCGGGGCUUAACCCCGGGUGUGCAGUGGGUACGGGCAGACUUGAGUGCAGUAGGGGAGACUGGAAUUCCUGGUGUAGCGGUGAAAUGCGCAGAUAUCAGGAGGAACACCGAUGGCGAAGGCAGGUCUCUGGGCUGUUACUGACGCUGAGGAGCGAAAGCAUGGGGAGCGAACAGGAUUAGAUACCCCUGUAGUC